Phasianus colchicus (ring-necked pheasant) is the source of this 953-nucleotide long non-coding RNA. RefSeq lists it as uncharacterized. NCBI's taxonomy places the organism in Eukaryota, Metazoa, Chordata, Aves, Galliformes, Phasianidae. The record is from RefSeq and is a predicted model, not a curated record.
CCUAGGGAAGGUUCUUUUUCUGGAGAUCUCUCCUUUUGGUGUUUUCUAUUGUGAGCCUAGGAUAUGGGUCUAACGUUCUGGUGGGGAAAAAAUACACACGAAGGCAAUGCCAUUGUUGUCCAGGAGAGGGCAGUCACAGAUACCAGCAGGGUUUAGAGGCGGUAGUAGUAACUGCAUACACAGCGAAAGGCGGCGUCCGAAAACCGUGAGCGUCACUCACGUCUUUAUGGCCUUCCUGAUGCUUCGACUGACUUCAAACCUUAUCAGCCAUCGGGCUGUGGUCAGAAAUCUCCCUAAUGCUCCAGCCAAAGCUUUUACGGUCUCCUAAACCGGCCUCAUUGGGCAGAUGGGAGAUAUGGGAGCACUACAGAAAGCAGAAUAUAGGGAGGCACAGCACAAACAAGUGGUGGCACAUGCUGAAGGUUAUGCGAGUGCAGCGAUGUGAGAUUAGAGAGGAGAGGAACCCGAUGGCCAUAUGGAGAGAUUUGGGAGAGCUGAGUCCUGUCACCAGCACCACUGCUGAAGUCCAUCAGAAGAGCAGAUCCUUCUAUUGGCACUGGUGGUGAGGAUAUCCUCCAGGACGGACAAAUGUGGAUGCAGGAGGCAUCCAAUGAGGCCAUGUGCAAUACUGAUGCUUGUCUCCUUUAUGUAUUGUUCAUCACUAAUCCAACAACCUGUGACACCUCACCAUCUGUGUUAGUGCAGGUUUGGGAAAUAAUUUUGGAAACAUCAGGUAUCCGUAGGAGUCCAUGAAUUUCAAGGUUUAAUAUGUCACCUUUUUCUUGUGUAUUGCCAGUUCUGCAGCAUUCAGUGUCAAUAAAUUAACUAUGCUUUUCAUAUAAGGACUAUUUCUAAAAAUAGAGGUAUAGGAAUGAGACAGUAUUUUGCAGAAUUGCGAGAGAGGUGUAGGUAAUGGAUGACAAACUGGAGAUAAAUUACCCAAAGGAAUGAAA